CAGUCGCCACGGUAAUACGUAGGUGGCAAGCGUUGUCCGGAAUUAUUGGGCGUAAAGCGCGCGCAGGCGGCCUAUCCAGUCUGUCUUAAAAGUUCGGGGCUCAACCCCGUGAUGGGAUGGAAACUAGUAGGCUAGAGUAUCGGAGAGGAAAGCGGAAUUCCUAGUGUAGCGGUGAAAUGCGUAGAUAUUAGGAAGAACACCAGUGGCGAAGGCGGCUUUCUGGACGAAAACUGACGCUGAGGCGCGAAAGCUAGGGGAGCGAACGGGAUUAGAGACCCCGGUAGUCCCUGUCUCUUAUACA
This 301-nucleotide ribosomal RNA is filed under the name uncultured bacterium. RNAcentral's name for it is "partial 16S ribosomal RNA". It matches the Rfam family "Bacterial small subunit ribosomal RNA", at positions 509 to 808 of the family's 1533-position model. The record is from RNAcentral.